AGGUAAGAAGUGGCUGCACGCUUUAACUUCGAAUUAAAGAAAGAACUUUUUCCUUAUCUAUUAAACUAUAGUUUAACAAAAACAUUUAACUUACAAUUAAAAAUUACCUAUGUUAGUUUAAAUCACAAAUCUCGUGACUACCCCCACAAAGAAAAU
This 156-nucleotide transfer RNA is filed under the name Proasellus margalefi. RNAcentral's name for it is "transfert RNA-R(CGA)". The stretch from base 62 to 121 matches the Rfam family "tRNA". Lineage: Eukaryota; Metazoa; Arthropoda; Malacostraca; Isopoda; Asellidae. The record is from RNAcentral.